RNAcentral lists this ribosomal RNA (1440 nucleotides) under uncultured organism. RNAcentral describes it as "SSU rRNA". It matches the Rfam family "Bacterial small subunit ribosomal RNA". The record is from RNAcentral.
CGCUAGCUACAGGCUUAACACAUGCAAGUCGAGGGGCAGCAUGGUCUUAGCUUGCUAAGGCCGAUGGCGACCGGCGCACGGGUGAGUAACACGUAUCCAACCUGCCGUCUACUCUUGGACAGCCUUCUGAAAGGAAGAUUAAUACAAGAUGGCAUCAUGAGUCCGCAUGUUCACAUGAUUAAAGGUAUUCCGGUAGACGAUGGGGAUGCGUUCCAUUAGAUAGUAGGCGGGGUAACGGCCCACCUAGUCUUCGAUGGAUAGGGGUUCUGAGAGGAAGGUCCCCCACAUUGGAACUGAGACACGGUCCAAACUCCUACGGGAGGCAGCAGUGAGGAAUAUUGGUCAAUGGGCGAGAGCCUGAACCAGCCAAGUAGCGUGAAGGAUGACUGCCCUAUGGGUUGUAAACUUCUUUUAUAAAGGAAUAAAGUCGGGUAUGGAUACCCGUUUGCAUGUACUUUAUGAAUAAGGAUCGGCUAACUCCGUGCCAGCAGCCGCGGUAAUACGGAGGAUCCGAGCGUUAUCCGGAUUUAUUGGGUUUAAAGGGAGCGUAGAUGGAUGUUUAAGUCAGUUGUGAAAGUUUGCGGCUCAACCGUAAAAUUGCAGUUGAUACUGGAUAUCUUGAGUGCAGUUGAGGCAGGCGGAAUUCGUGGUGUAGCGGUGAAAUGCUUAGAUAUCACGAAGAACUCCGAUUGCGAAGGCAGCCUGCUAAGCUGCAACUGACAUUGAGGCUCGAAAGUGUGGGUAUCAAACAGGAUUAGAUACCCUGGUAGUCCACACGGUAAACGAUGAAUACUCGCUGUUUGCGAUAUACGGCAAGCGGCCAAGCGAAAGCGUUAAGUAUUCCACCUGGGGAGUACGCCGGCAACGGUGAAACUCAAAGGAAUUGACGGGGGCCCGCACAAGCGGAGGAACAUGUGGUUUAAUUCGAUGAUACGCGAGGAACCUUACCCGGGCUUAAAUUGCAGAUGAAUUACGGUGAAAGCCGUAAGCCGCAAGGCAUCUGUGAAGGUGCUGCAUGGUUGUCGUCAGCUCGUGCCGUGAGGUGUCGGCUUAAGUGCCAUAACGAGCGCAACCCUUGUUGUCAGUUACUAACAGGUUCUGCUGAGGACUCUGACAAGACUGCCAUCGUAAGAUGUGAGGAAGGUGGGGAUGACGUCAAAUCAGCACGGCCCUUACGUCCGGGGCUACACACGUGUUACAAUGGGGGGUACAGAGGGCCGCUACCACGCGAGUGGAUGCCAAUCCCAAAAACCUCUCUCAGUUCGGACUGGAGUCUGCAACCCGACUCCACGAAGCUGGAUUCGCUAGUAAUCGCGCAUCAGCCACGGCGCGGUGAAUACGUCCCCGGGCCUUGUACACACCGCCCGUCAAGCCAUGGGAGCCGGGGGUACCUGAAGUGCGUAACCGCGAGGAGCGCCCUAGGGUAAAACUGGUGACUGG